GACGAACGCUGGCGGCGUGCUUAACACAUGCAAGUCGAACGGAAAGGCCCCUUUGGGGGUACUCGAGUGGCGAACGGGUGAGUAACACGUGAGUAACCUGCCCUUGACUUCGGGAUAACUUCAGGAAACUGGGGCUAAUACCGGAUAGGAAUCCUUGCUGCAUGGUGGGGGUUGGAAAGCUUCGGCGGUUUUGGAUGGACUCGCGGCUUAUCAGCUUGUUGGUGGGGUAGUGGCUUACCAAGGCUUUGACGGGUAGCCGGCCUGGGGGGGCGACCGGCCACAUUGGGACUGAGAUAAGGCCCAGACGCCUACGGGAGGCAGCAGGGGGGAAUAUUGCACAAUGGGCGGAAGCCUGAUGCAGCAACGCCGCGUGCGGGAUGACGGCCUUCGGGUUGUAAACCGCUUUCAGCAGGGGCGAAGCUUGUGGUGACGGUACCUGCAGAAGAAGCACCGGCUAACUACGUG
This 465-nucleotide ribosomal RNA is filed under the name uncultured bacterium. Its description in RNAcentral is "partial 16S ribosomal RNA". It matches the Rfam family "Bacterial small subunit ribosomal RNA", at positions 28 to 507 of the family's 1533-position model. The record is from RNAcentral.